Rhizobiales bacterium 65-9 is the source of this 49-nucleotide non-coding RNA. The record is from Rfam. NCBI's taxonomy places the organism in Bacteria, Pseudomonadati, Pseudomonadota, Alphaproteobacteria, Hyphomicrobiales.
GGCGCGGGACGACCCGCCUUCUGGCCAUUCCUUGCGAGGGACGACCCUC